AGCCCAGAGCCUGAAUCAGUGUGUGUGUUAGUGGAAGCGUCUGGAAAGGCGCGCGAUACAGGGUGACAGCCCCGUACACAAAAAUGCACAUACUGUGAGCUCGAUGAGUAGGGCGGGACACGUGGUAUCCUGUCUGAAUAUGGGGGGACCAUCCUCCAAGGCUAAAUACUCCUGACUGACCGAUAGUGAACCAGUACCGUGAGGGAAAGGCGAAAAGAACCCCGGCGAGGGGAGUGAAAAAGAACCUGAAACCGUGUACGUACAAGCAGUGGGAGCCUCUUAAUGGGGUGACUGCGUACCUUUUGUAUAAUGGGUCAGCGACUUAUAUUCUGUAGCAAGGUUAACCGAAUAGGGGAGCCGAAGGGAAACCGAGUCUUAACUGGGCGUUAAGUUGCAGGGUAUAGACCCGAAACCCGGUGAUCUAGCCAUGGGCAGGUUGAAGGUUGGGUAACACUAACUGGAGGACCGAACCGACUAAUGUUGAAAAAUUAGCGGAUGACUUGUGGCUGGGGGUGAAAGGCCAAUCAAACCGGGAGAUAGCUGGUUCUCCCCGAAAGCUAUUUAGGUAGCGCCUCGUGAAUUCAUCUCCGGGGGUAGAGCACUGUUUCGGCAAGGGGGUCAUCCCGACUUACCAACCCGAUGCAAACUGCGAAUACCGGAGAAUGUUAUCACGGGAGACACACGGCGGGUGCUAACGUCCGU
This 702-nucleotide ribosomal RNA is filed under the name Escherichia coli. RNAcentral's name for it is "partial 23S ribosomal RNA". It matches the Rfam family "Bacterial large subunit ribosomal RNA", at positions 296 to 1008 of the family's 2925-position model. Lineage: Bacteria; Pseudomonadati; Pseudomonadota; Gammaproteobacteria; Enterobacterales; Enterobacteriaceae. The record is from RNAcentral.